UACGAAGGGGGGCUAGCGUUGCUCGGAAUCACUGGGCGUAAAGCGCACGUAGGCGGCUUGUUAAGUCAGGGGUGAAAUCCUGGAGCUCAACUCCAGAACUGCCUUUGAUACUGGCGAGCUCGAGUCCGGGAGAGGUGAGUGGAACUGCGAGUGUAGAGGUGAAAUUCGUAGAUAUUCGCAAGAACACCAGUGGCGAAGGCGGCUCACUGGCCCGGUACUGACGCUGAGGUGCGAAAGCGUGGGGAGCAAACAGG
RNAcentral lists this ribosomal RNA (254 nucleotides) under uncultured bacterium. Its description in RNAcentral is "partial 16S ribosomal RNA". It matches the Rfam family "Bacterial small subunit ribosomal RNA", at positions 524 to 776 of the family's 1533-position model. The record is from RNAcentral.